This 311-nucleotide ribosomal RNA is filed under the name uncultured eukaryote. RNAcentral's name for it is "partial 18S ribosomal RNA". It matches the Rfam family "Eukaryotic small subunit ribosomal RNA", at positions 1470 to 1796 of the family's 1831-position model. The record is from RNAcentral.
CCCCUAGACGUUCUGGGCUGCACGCGCGCUACAAUAAUACGCACAGCGAGUAACACCGAGCUCGAAAGGGCAAGGUAAACAAUAGAAAAGGUACUGUAAUGGUUAUAGAUCCUUGUAAUUAUUGAUCUUCAACGAGGAAUUCCUAGUAAGUAUGUGUCAUCAUCACGCACUGAUUACGUCCCUGCCCUUUGUACACACCGCCCGUCGCUCCUACCGAUUGAGUGAGCCGAUGAAACUGCCGGAUGUGGACUAUUCAUAGUCUGCAGAAGAUAUUUGAAUCGUAGCGCUUAGAGGAAGGAGAAGUCGUAACA